AAGUAGAAAAAUCGAGCAGUUUUUUGUUCUUUUCUAUUUGACAUCUCCCGUUUUCAGCUUAGCGGGAGAUGGGAUUGCACGCACACAUGUCCAAGUUUUCGCGGAGACACGCACACAUUGAAACCAAUGGCAAAUAGCCUUCGCAUCGGAUUGAAACCGCGCCUACUUUCUCAAGUUUCCCAGUGCAUUGACUCCGUACAUAGCUGUGAAUUAUAGUAGAGAAUAUUAUAUACAGGAAAAUGUCUGAAGCGCCGGUCAACAACAGCAACAACAACAACAACAACGAUAGCAACAACAACAUCGUAAAACAUCAGCAUAAAAACCAUCUCAUACAAAUUGGUCCAGCAGAAAGACAGCAAUCGCGCGUUCCGGUUAGUGUAUCUCCAGGUGACACAUUAAAUUCACCUCCCCUGCUUGUUCGCACCACGUCCUUAUCCUUUCCAAGUUCUUCAGGAGUUCACAACAUUUCAUUCCCUUCUCUGCCCCCCAAAAUCACAACUCCCAAUCCAAUCCCAGUCCCUCCACGUACCUCUUCGUUGUUCCGUCCAACUUCGAUUGUGCAAAACGUUUCGUUCCGGCAUUCUGUUUCCCUCCCUCUCAGUCCUACCGUGCCACCACGCACGACUUCUCUGUCCCUUCCAUGUUCUCCUGUACAACCACCUGUGCCAAUCCGUCCUGAUCCAAUAGUUUUCGAUCGAUCAAGUUCCUUGCUCAAUUCUUCCGUUGCUUCGCAUGUUCCCGUCGUACCUCCUCGAACCAGUUCCUUACCCAUUUCCAACACCAAUCAUCCGACCCUUAAAAAAAAUCACCUGGAGAUACACAGUUAGACCGUUCAGAAAAGAAAAUAGAUAUUUUAUCAAAAGUAUGUUGCCACACUUCACAAGAGGUCAGCCUAGUUUUAAAAAAUACAAGCGGCAUGAAAAAUUCUGAGAGCUUACAGGGACACUUUAAAAGAUUAGAAACCCUAGAAAUGCUUGAGGAAAUGGAGGAAAAACUGAAAACGAACAGCAUUUUCAUGGCAGAAACAAUAUACCUGCUUGUAAAUAUAUUGAAAGGUAUCAGUGAUGUUAAUGAAAGAUUAUCCAGCACGUUAGAUCUACUCUUUGAUAGAGAGUUCUUUUCGUUGUUUACGUGGUCAGGAAAAAGCAUACCAGAACCAAAACUACCUUUGGAAAAAUAUAUACAUGUAAUAGCUCUUUUCAAAUUUGUAGGCGGUAGUAACAUGGUAUCAGUUUCAGAUGGAACUGUAAAAGAUUUUCUAGUUAAGAAACUUAACCAUGGAAAGGCACGAAGUGAUGUGAAAGGGUUACGACAUACGGUAAAACGUAAAAAAGAAGCUUAGAUUUAGAUAGAUAUAAUGGUCCAUUAAUUGUAAAAGUUUUUUUAUUGAAUUAAUGAUUUAGGCAUUUAUACAAUUAGGAUAUGAGUUGUGAUUCAAGUUGUGAUAUGAACUAUGUUGGAGUAAACGUAUAUGAAUUUUAUAAGUAAAAAUUAUAUAUGAAAUACCAACAAUGUGUUCUAGUUCUUAAGGCAUUUCCUCCUUGCAUUUUGCCUUAUCCCGGGCAUACUCGGCUAUUUUAUUCUAAUCAUUUUAAUACAAAACUAAACUAAUAAAAAUAUUUACAUAAACUUAAACCUUUACUACCUAUUCUAAGCCUAACAGCUUACAUAUAACAAUUAAGAUCUAACUUUCAAAUGUAUGUAAAAGAGGACUGAAAUAAAAUGUAUUACCCUGAUCUAAACUAA
Long non-coding RNA from Anopheles gambiae (African malaria mosquito), 1746 nucleotides. RefSeq lists it as uncharacterized. NCBI's taxonomy places the organism in Eukaryota, Metazoa, Arthropoda, Insecta, Diptera, Culicidae. The record is from RefSeq and is a predicted model, not a curated record. The transcript is spliced from 3 exons.